GCGAACGAACCGGCCCCGCCGUAGGUUGUUUUUAGGGCGAGUGGUCAUUCAUGGUAGAGGUUAAAUUUGUUUAUGUUUUAUUUUUAAAUCAGAAUUAUAGGUUCAUGGCUUCCAACAGAUUUAAGAAUCUGCUGUUAAUUAUCCCACACUUUUGGUGUUAAGGAACUCUCGAUUAAGAGACCAAAUAUAAAUGCUGAUAAUAAAAGAGAUAAAACAGGCAAAUAAAAUUUUAUUAAUAUGAUCUGCUGUGUACAUGGCUUAAGCAGGGGCAUACCCCCACUGUAUAUGAAUAUUUUAAUUUAGUCAAUCGGUGGUCGAUUGAAGUUUUGAUGACAUGGCGGUCGGGUUCACCUUGGUUGUAUAUUCCAAGGUGGAGAUGUGACUAGAUCUCAAGUAUAUGCAUUGAGGUGGGUCGAACUAGAUCCUAAAUAUAUGUGUUAAGACCUAGUCGAUAUUAAACUCUGUAUUAUAGUCUAAUUGGCUCUAAGUAUAUGUCUUAGAGUCCGAUUAUAUUCACAUUGGUUGUAUAUUUCAGGGUGGAGAUGUGACCAGACCUCAAGUAUAUGUAUUGAGGUGGGUCGAAUUUGAUAUUAUCCGAGAGUGG
This 604-nucleotide long non-coding RNA is filed under the name Ananas comosus (pineapple). RNAcentral's name for it is "long non-coding RNA (ACOM_LNC017416)". The record is from RNAcentral. Lineage: Eukaryota; Viridiplantae; Streptophyta; Magnoliopsida; Poales; Bromeliaceae.